GUUCGUUGUUUAGGGCGCAUGGUGGAUGCCUUGGCAUGCUGAGNCNAUCUAGCGACCUCCACGUGUAAGGCUGCGUUAAGCCUCGGGGAGUUGUCAAUAAAGCGUUGAUCCGAGGAUGUCCGAAUGGGGAAACCUGGCCCUGGUUAUGUGGGGUUACCCUUCAGUGAAUUCAUAGCUGUUGUGGGGGUUACGCGGGGAAGUGAAACAUCUCAGUACCCGUAGGAGGAGAAAAUAAUAAUGAUUCUGCUAGUAGUGGCGAACGAACGUGGAUGAGGCUAAACCGUGUGCAUGUGAUACCUGGUAGGGGUUGUGUGUGCGGUGUUGUGGGGCCUGAUUUUGUGUCAUCUACCAGUGGCACGCCCUGUGCAUUGUUGUUAGGUGAAGUGGUUUGGAAUGAUCUGCCGGAGUAGGUGAGAGUCCUGUAGCUGAAGAUGAUGNNGUGGNGGUNGNUNGNUGGUCCCGAGUAGCAACGGGCUCGUGGAAUCUGUUGUGAAUCUGCCGGGACCACCCGGUAAGCCUAAAUACUNAGUGUGACCGAUAGNGGAUAGUACCGUGAGGGAAUGGUGAAAAGUACCCCGGGAGGGGAGUGAAAUAGUUCCUGAAACCAUGUGCUUACAAUCCGUCAGAGCACNUUUUNUUGUGUGAUGGCGUGCCUUUUGAAGAAUGAGCCUGCGAGUCAGCGGCAUGUCGCGAGGUUAACCCGUUGUGUGGGGUAGCCGUAGGGAAACCGAAUCCUAAUGAGGGUGUGUNAGUGGCAUGUCCUGGACCCGAAGCGGGGUGAUCUACCCAUGGCCAGUGUGAAGCAGCUGUAAGAGGUUGUGGAGGCGCGAACCCACNUAGGUUGAAAACUGNGGGGAUGAGNUGUGGGUAGGGGUGAAAGGCCAAUCAAACUCCGUGAUAGCUGGUUCUCCCCGAAAUGCAUUUAGGUGCAGCGUCGUAGGUUAGCUUGGUGGAGGUAGAGCNACUGNUUGGUUGAGCGGGACUAUCAAUCUUAGCAAUGUCAGCCAAACUCCGAAUGCCAUCAAUUGUGUUGUGCGGCAGUGAGACUGUGGGGGAUAAGCUUCAUAGUCGAGAGGGAAACAGCCCAGAUCNNCNGNUAAGGCCCCUAAGUGGUGUACUNAGUGGNAAAGGAUGUGGNAUCGCGAAGACAGCCAGGAGGUUGGCUUAGAAGCAGCCAUCCUUGAAAGAGUGCGUAAUAGCUCACUGGUCGAGUGGUUCUGCGCCGACAAUUCAGUGGGGCUCAAGUACACCGCCGAAGCCGCGGCACACUAUUUUUGUGUGGGUAGGGGAGCGUCGUGUAUGGGGUGAAGCAAUACUGUAAGGGGUUGUGGACUGUACACGAGUGAGAAUGCAGGCAUGAGUAACGAGUGAUAAGUGAGAAUCUUAUCCGCCGGAUGACUAAGGGUUCCUGGGUCAAGUUCGUCUUCCCAGGGUGAGUCGGGUCCUAAGGCGAGGCCGACAGGCGUAGUCGAUGGUUAACGGGUUGAUAUUCCCGUACCCGUGUAUAUGCGCCCAAGGGUGAAUCGGUGAUACUAACCACCCUGACCGCACCAUAUGAUGAUCCCUUCGGGGGUUGAUCGGUGGUGUGUGAUGCGUGGGGCCUAAACCGUAGUAGCCCAGUGAUGGGGUGACGCAGUGAGGUAGCCUAGCCACUUAUUGGAUUGUGGUGUAAGCGUGUGGCACGACGAUGAGUGAAAUGCUUGUUGUCACAAAGUGUGAGGCGUGAUGCGUAGCCCCUUAAGGGGUGAUGUAGGUGAUCCUGUACUGCCGAGAAAAGCCUCUAGCGAGUGUGUACACGGCCCGUACCCGAAACCGACACAGGUAGUCAGGUAGAGAAUACUAAGGCGGUCGGGUGAACUGUGGUUAAGGAACUCGGCAAAUUACCCCCGUAACUUCGGGAGAAGGGGGACCUCUACCGGUGCGCAGCUUUUACGGUUGUUGUGCUGGUGGGGGUCGCAGAGAAUAGAGGGGAGCGACUGUUUAUCAAAAACACAGGUCCGUGCGAAGACGUGAUGUUGAUGUAUACGGACUGACGCCUGCCCGGUGCUGGAAGGUUAAGAGGACCUGUUAGAACUUCGGUUCGAAGCGGAGAAUUUAAGCCCCAGUAAACGGCGGUGGUAACUAUAACCAUCCUAAGGUAGCGAAAUUCCUUGUCGGGUAAGUUCCGACCU
This 2171-nucleotide ribosomal RNA is filed under the name insect metagenome. Its description in RNAcentral is "bacterial LSU rRNA". It matches the Rfam family "Bacterial large subunit ribosomal RNA", at positions 1 to 1989 of the family's 2925-position model. The record is from RNAcentral.